CAGGCUUAACACAUGCAAGUCGAGGGGCAGCAUGGUCUUAGCUUGCUAAGGCCGAUGGCGACCGGCGCACGGGUGAGUAACACGUAUCCAACCUGCCGUCUACUCUUGGACAGCCUUCUGAAAGGAAGAUUAAUACAAGAUGGCAUCAUGAGUCCACAUGUUCACAUGAUUAAAGGUAUUCCGGUAGACGAUGGGGAUGCGUUCCAUUAGAUAGUAGGCGGGGUAACGGCCCACCUAGUCUUCGAUGGAUAGGGGUUCUGAGAGGAAGGUCCCCCACAUUGGAACUGAGACACGGUCCAAACUCCUACGGGAGGCAGCAGUGAGGAAUAUUGGUCAAUGGGCGAGAGCCUGAACCAGCCAAGUAGCGUGAAGGAUGACUGCCCUAUGGGUUGUAAACUUCUUUUAUAAAGGAAUAAAGUCGGGUAUGCAUACCCGUUUGCAUGUACUUUAUGAAUAAGGAUCGGCUAACUCCGUGCCAGCAGCCGCGGUAAUACGGAGGAUCCGAGCGUUAUCCGGAUUUAUUGGGUUUAAAGGGAGCGUAGAUGGAUGUUUAAGUCAGUUGUGAAAGUUUGCGGCUCAACCGUAAAAUUGCAGUUGAUACUGGAUAUCUUGAGUGCAGUUGAGGCAGGCGGAAUUCGUGGUGUAGCGGUGAAAUGCUUAGAUAUCACGAAGAACUCCGAUUGCGAAGGCAGCCUGCUAAGCUGCAACUGACAUUGAGGCUCGAAAGUGUGGGUAUCAAACAGGAUUAGAUACCCUGGUAGUCCACACGGUAAACGAUGAAUACUCGCUGUUUGCGAUAUACUGCAAGCGGCCAAGCGAAAGCGUUAAGCAUUCCACCUGGGGAGUACGCCGGCAACGGUGAAACUCAAAGGAAUUGACGGGGGCCCGCACAAGCGGAGGAACAUGUGGUUUAAUUCGAUGAUACGCGAGGAACCUUACCCGGGCUUAAAUUGCAGAUGAAUUACGGUGAAAGCCGUAAGCCGCAAGGCAUCUGUGAAGGUGCUGCAUGGUUGUCGUCAGCUCGUGCCGUGAGGUGUCGGCUUAAGUGCCAUAACGAGCGCAACCCUUGUUGUCAGUUACUAACAGGUUCUGCUGAGGACUCUGACAAGACUGCCAUCGUAAGAUGUGAGGAAGGUGGGGAUGACGUCAAAUCAGCACGGCCCUUACGUCCGGGGCUACACACGUGUUACAAUGGGGGGUACAGAGGGCCGCUACCACGCGAGUGGAUGCCAAUCCCAAAAACCUCUCUCAGUUCGGACUGGAGUCUGCAACCCGACUCCACGAAGCUGGAUUCGCUAGUAAUCGCGCAUCAGCCACGGCGCGGUGAAUACGUUCCCGGGCCUUGUACACACCGCCCGUCAAGCCAUGGGAGCCGGGGGUACCUGAAGUGCGUAACCGCGAGGAGCGCCCUAGGGUAAAACUGGUGACUGGGGCUAAGUC
This 1440-nucleotide ribosomal RNA is filed under the name uncultured organism. Its description in RNAcentral is "16S ribosomal RNA". It matches the Rfam family "Bacterial small subunit ribosomal RNA". The record is from RNAcentral.